This 118-nucleotide non-coding RNA is filed under the name Foraminifera environmental sample. Lineage: Eukaryota; Foraminifera. The record is from RNAcentral.
UAUUUUUAUGUUAAUUUUUUUUCUUCUGUAAUUUCUUCGAAUUCCAAUCGAGCAUGAAUCAUGGAGUGCGCCUCAUGCACUCGAUGUUAUUUAUAUUGUACAUGUGUCUGUGUGUGUG